CGGCUCUCGACACUGGGCUGGUCGCUCUGGUUUACACCAAAUCCAACCACUCGUGGCCUGCAGAUCCUCAGUAUAAAUCGCUGGAAAAGCCUGACCUUGACAACCUCAUUCCUCAUUCCUUUCUUGUUACAGGUAAUAGAGCUGAAAAUGUGGUUUUAAUUAUAGCACUAAUGAAAACUGAAAAUCCAGACAGACACUUGACGAACUCUGCUGCGCUUUAUAUUACAUUUGUGCUAACUACAAAGUGCCCAGCUGGGUGUAACAUUAUCCCGCUUCCUCGGGCAUCCGCCUGACUGAAGCUGUGUAAUUGAUGUGGACUUUGGCAGGAGACAAGAGGCCUUUGGGUUGCAAUCUGAAGGUGGACCAGGCAGUGGAUUGUGAAGGCGAUUGGGCAAAGAGCCAUGAAGACCUGUUGUUGCUGCCCUUUGAGCCCUGAGAUGAUCUCCUCCCUUCCUGGAUAGGUUGGGGAGCCCCACAUGAGACUGGAAACAGGGCUGACCCACGUGCGGAGCCCUCAGUGCAAAGUCCUCUCUGCUCCCCAAGCCUGCAAUCCCAGCCGCAGCCCCGGGGCCUGGAAACUCCGGCCGAUUUAUUAAAGCGUCCUCCCUGUCUGCCACCAUCAGGCUAGAAUUGUUCCGAACAAAAGAAGCAUGAAUUGCUGGAAACUAUAUAUUAAAUGCAAGACUAUUUGUCUAGUUUUCAUUGGGUGCUGAGUGAAGAGCCUCAACUCCUCGUAUUCCCAUGGUACUCAGAUGUCCGCGGAGUCCGCUGCUCCUCACACUGUCAUUUCUCUCACUGGGCACAAUCCGGCUUUAAAGAAUCCGACACUUACUGGUCUUUAUGGAACUGUCAGCAGUGACAGCAACCAGGGACACUGCCAUGUCUUGCUGUUUACAAAGGAUGAGCACAACAAGGCAUCUCGAUGACUUGAUAAGCCCUGAGCUCCUCUCUCCCCAACUCUGGCCUCUCUGGACCAGCGGCCUUUGCAUGGCCAGCUAAAGACACAAGAAUUAAAACUUGAUCCAAACACUAACAAGUCUGCAACCACGGCCAUGAAGAUAAAGUAGGGCUGCUCAAGGUUGCUUGGUAAACAGCGAAAACAGAGAAACAGGAGGAUCCUUAUAUGCACAGGUUAUUUUUCUUUCAGUAUACUUAAAAUUUAGUGGAAAGAAAUCCUAGGCUAGCAUUAAAUUCAUAGAUUAUUAUUAUGGUCUUGAAUAGUUCAUCUUGUUUUCUCACUCUGACACUCCUUCACUUCUUUAGAAAUUCCAGCCAAUAAUGUUGUAGCUAAAUUAAGAUCAAAGUUUUUCUUUUUAUUUUAGGGGGUUGAAGGCUGAUCAGGGGAGCACAGGCUUAGCAUGCACAAGGCCCUGCUUCAGUUCCUGCAGUCUGCACCCCAAAAGAGCUUUUAAAAAAAGUUUUCUGAACCUACUAAUUUUUAUUUAGGGAAUUUAGGUAUGUCUUGGAAAUUAUAUAAAUGUAUGUGCUUUUCUCUUUCUGGCAUGCUAAGUUACGGUAGCCUUGGAAGUUGAAACUCUGUCCCCCUUUCCUUUUAUUGUUUUUCAACAUUGAACACAUGGAAGAAGAAAGGAAACUUUCACAUGCUUAUGUUGCACUGGUUCAAUGGUUUUGUUAAGUCUCACACACACAUCUCAUAGCUCUACCAACUGCAUAGGGUUUAAGAAUAUUGUCUUUCUUCAAUUCUAGGACAGGUUGGGCCAAUGGUGUUUGUCUUCUGAAAGUAUUCCUAGAAAGGGUCUUCUAAGACCCUUGAAUAAAGAUUUUACAAUAGACUUUUCCCAUCACUUGCUGCUCCUUUCUUUCCUUUUUUUUUGGUACCGGGGAUUGGACUCAGGACCUUGGGCUUUCGAGGCAGGCGUGGUGCCACUGAGCUAAGUCCCUGGACCUACUCUGCUCCUUUCUUGCAGAAAUGCUAUUGCUAAAAGUAACAUAUGUCAUAGUUCAUAGAGCAAAGUGUCUUAAUUUUAGCAAUGUGAUAUCCACAUUCAUCACAAGACUGUAGCUUUACAUUGACAGUUACAGAAAGAAAUCUCAUCUUGAUCAUAAGGCAGAAUCUUCCUGGGGCCAGGUCUCUGCUGAGAAUCUUUCUGAACAGUUCUUUUGAGAUACAUGCCUAAUCUUUACUACAGUGUCUGUAUGUAGAGUUAGCUUCACUUGGAAAUCAUUGCUUCACAGGUAUUAUGUCUCAGAUUUUGAGCAAAAGUGGGUAUUCCCUUUAGGUUGAAACUGAAGUUCCAGGGUCUGUCCACCUCUACAGAACACAUUAUGGGUGACAUUACAAACCCAGGGCUGUGUGCUUGCAGAUAAGUCCCCUAUGUUGCCACUUUCUCCCGUGAGCCCAGUCUGAAGGUGGAGUUCCUGUUUUCCCUGGGACACUCAGGACAGAGGGCCCGCUAGUUGAGCUCUUAGAGUGAUAAAUAGUGCAAUGCAAAACAGCACGCUCACAGCUGAUGUCAACCUCUACUCCAUCUAAAAAAAUAUUUGGAGUGAAUAGAGUUAUGUAGCUAGGAAAUGAUGCAAAGGAAGAAUAUUCUGUACAGGUCAGUGUUUGUACCAUCAGAAUUAGCUAGUACAUAGAGUUGAUACUGCUGGUGGCUGCCUCUUUGUACCUCUUUGAUGUGUUGGAGGCAAUUUCCAUCCUCCUAAACAAGUUAAAUACAUUUUAUGAUUUUGACAGGC
Molecule: long non-coding RNA, 2700 nt
Organism: Heterocephalus glaber (naked mole-rat)
Lineage: Eukaryota; Metazoa; Chordata; Mammalia; Rodentia; Bathyergidae
Source: Ensembl